Xiphophorus couchianus (Monterrey platyfish) is the source of this 281-nucleotide long non-coding RNA. RefSeq lists it as uncharacterized. Lineage: Eukaryota; Metazoa; Chordata; Actinopteri; Cyprinodontiformes; Poeciliidae. The record is from RefSeq and is a predicted model, not a curated record. The transcript has 3 exons.
GGAGUAGCCGAAAAAAACGCCCAGUAAACGGUAAAAUUAAAGAUGACUACCAGAAUAUUGAUUUGCUUUUCACUGUAAAAGAUGGGAUUGUCAGUCAGUUACAAUGUAAUGGGAUCAUCUUUGUCAUCUUGCUCUUGUCUGGAUGUAGCUGCAUAUUUUCUGCUCUGCACUUAAGACCUUCAGAGUCAAUAGUUUCAGUAACUCCAGUGGACAUGGAUCAAGAAAAGCUCCCAGAGGGUUUCCACGAAGAUCUGCAGGAGAUGAAGAGGAAACUCAAAUUG